This 211-nucleotide non-coding RNA is filed under the name Rhodopseudomonas palustris. RNAcentral also lists the same sequence under 1 other name. The record is from RNAcentral. Lineage: Bacteria; Pseudomonadati; Pseudomonadota; Alphaproteobacteria; Hyphomicrobiales; Nitrobacteraceae.
AAACAUCGCGCUGCCGACGGUUCCUGUCUGCGGACGGGACGAAGAGGGAAUAUCGGAAGUCAUCAUCCAGACGCGGAUGAUGGCGGUGCCGAAGCUGCUCCCGCAACUGUGAACGGCGAGCCAUCGCAACACGCCACUGGGCAGACGCCUGGGAAGGCUGCGUUGGCCGUGACCCGUGAGCCAGGAGACCUGCCGUCGCCUGCUGAUUGAC